This 460-nucleotide ribosomal RNA is filed under the name uncultured bacterium. RNAcentral describes it as "partial 16S ribosomal RNA". It matches the Rfam family "Bacterial small subunit ribosomal RNA", at positions 338 to 795 of the family's 1533-position model. The record is from RNAcentral.
CCUACGGGCGGCAGCAGUGAGGAAUAUUGGUCAAUGGGCGCGAGCCUGAACCAGCCAAGUCGCGUGAAGGAAGACUGCCCUACGGGUUGUAAACUUCUUUUAUAAAGGAAUAAAGUGAGGCGCGUGUGCCUUUUUGUAUGUCCUUUAUGAAUAAGGAUCGGCUAACUCCGUGCCAGCAGCCGCGGUAAUAAGGAGGAUCCGAGCGUUAUACGGAUUUAUUGGGUUUAAAGGGAGCGUAGAUGGGUUGUUAAGUCAGUUGUGAAAGUUUGCGGCUCAACCGUAAAAUUGCAAUUGAUACUGGCAGUCUUGAGUACAGUAGAGGUAGGCGGAAUUCGUGGUGUAGCGGUGAAAUGCUUAGAUAUCACGAAGAACUCCGAUUGCGAAGGCAGCUUACUGGACUGCAACUGACACUGAGGCUCGAAAGUGUGGGUAUCAAACAGGAUUAGAUACCCUGGUAGUC